AUAUAGUAUAUUAGCAUGCUCUGAUGCUAAGAAGUUAGACAUUCUACUCCCCCUCCCCACCUGAAAAGUUCCAACUGCCACUUGCCUCACAUUCCGUUACCUCAGGUCAAAGUGGCAGACAUUUCACUCCUUCACUCAGGGAUGGUCUGGGGCUCCUUACAGUACUAAACGUCGGUAUCUCACCAAAAUGUCUAUGCCUUCCACCUAUGGAACUGCUUCCGAGCUCAAGGUGGCAGGAGAGAUAUUCCCUUAUGUGUUUCAAUCACCAACCACCACUGAGCCAACGCAUUGUGAACCAAAUUUCUCCUGCAUAGUGUCCCAGCCCCAACUCACUUCUUACACUGACCUCCUCAGUUCAGACGAAUCUGUUCCUUCUACUGUAACACCAGUUAAAUGGAAAAGACUGUCUUUCUGUUGCCCGGAAGUACAACGGAUGCUUCAAAAUGAUGUCUUUUGGAGCCAGAGAGGUCAACUUAUACUCUGCUUGUGUGACCUGGAGUGCUUCUGACAGUCAGUUCCUGGCAUUCAUUCAAUCAAAAGCCAUUGUAUAAGUGAUUCCAUCUUUCUUUAGUAAGAGAAGCAGGGAAGCAGUGAUGAAAAAGCAUGGGAAUAUUUCAUGUUGAAAAUUAUGUUGUCUGGACACCCCCCAAUACAAAUUCUAUUGAAUGGAAGAAGCUUUCCUCCUUCCAGAAACAGAGUAUGCAAAACUCUAUCCAACCAAAUUGCAUGAAAAUAAAAGAAUGAGCUUCAAUGAA
Molecule: long non-coding RNA, 755 nt
Organism: Pantherophis guttatus
Lineage: Eukaryota; Metazoa; Chordata; Lepidosauria; Squamata; Colubridae
Source: RefSeq, a predicted model, not a curated record